CAACGCCGCGUGCGCGAUGAAGGCCUUCGGGUUGUAAAGCGCUUUUCGGAGGGAUGAAUCAAGACAGUACCUCCAGAACAAGGAUCGGCUAACUACGUGCCAGCAGCCGCGGUAAAACGUAGGAUCCAAGCGUUAUCCGGAAUUACUGGGCGUAAAGGGCGUGUAGGCGGCUUGGCAAGUCGGUCAUGAAAGCUCCCGGCUCAACUGGGAGAGGUUGUCCGAUACUGCCAGGCUAGAGGGCAAGAGAGGGAGGUGGAAUUCCCGGUGUAGUGGUGAAAUGCGUAGAUAUCGGGAGGAACACCAGUGGCGAAGGCGGCCUCCUGGCUUGCGCCUGACGCUGAGACGCGAAAGCGUGGGGAGCGGACGGGAUUAGAAACCCCGGUAGUCCACGCUGUAAACGAUGUCAACUAGGUGUCGGUGGCGUAGAACCCGUCGGUAUCGAAGCUAACGCGUUAAGUUGACCGCCUGGGGACUACGAUCGCAAGAUUAAAACUCAAAGGAAUUGACGGGGACCCGCACAAGCAGCGGAGCGUGUGGUUUAAUUCGAGGCUACGCGAAGAACCUUACCAGGGAUUGACAUGCACGUAGUAGGGAAGCGAAAGCAGACCGACCCUUCGGGGAGCGUGCACAGGUGAUGCAUGGCUGUCGUCAGCUCGUGCCGUGAGGUGUCAGGUUAAGUCCUGUAACGAGCGCAACCCCUGUCGUGUGUUAUACGUGUCACACGAGACUGCCGGUGUCAAACCGGAGGAAGGCGGGGAUGACGUCAAGUCAGCAUGUCCUUCAUAUCCUGGGCUACACACACGCUACAAUGGCCGGGACA
This 820-nucleotide ribosomal RNA is filed under the name uncultured Anaerolineaceae bacterium. RNAcentral's name for it is "bacterial SSU rRNA". It matches the Rfam family "Bacterial small subunit ribosomal RNA", at positions 392 to 1241 of the family's 1533-position model. The record is from RNAcentral. Lineage: Bacteria; Bacillati; Chloroflexota; Anaerolineae; Anaerolineales; Anaerolineaceae.